CGUAACCGGUGCGUGUUUCUGUAGUUAGCUAGCACAAUCGAAAUGGGUGAGAUGAUAUUCAUACUAAUUCAUAAUUAAUCACAAUGCACAUCUCAGAAAUAAUUCUGACCAACUACAGUGUUACUUACAAUUAGCUGAUUACAAGUGUUAUACACUCUGCGUAACAACCGGGCCAAACUAAGAGCAUCUGAAAGGAAAUGGUGUAAAUCUAACAACCCAACUGACCUAACCAAUUACCAGACACUUCUCUCCUCUUUUUCCAAUAGCAUCUCCUUUGCUAAAGCCACAUACUACCAAGAGUAGAUUGGCAGUUCUCCCAACACCCGCACUCUCUUCAAAACCUUUUCCUCUCUUCCCUGUCCCCCUCCUCCCCCUUCCCUUACCUCUCUCACAGCAGAUGACUUUGCCACUUUCUUUUCCAACAAGGUUACAUCAAUCAGGAACCAGUUCUCAACCCCAGACAUGCACAGACCGGCUCCUCCUCCAUGUAACUCCCAACUUUCUUCCUUCUCUCCCCUCUCAGGGACUGAUGUCUCUAAACUCCUCUCUAGGCGUCCCACAACCUGUCCUCUUGACCCUAUCCCUUCUCACCUUCUUCAGUCCAUCUCUCCCACACUAUUACCUGCACUCACACACAUCUUUAACACAUCCCUCUCUAUGCAGGAAAUUUUCGUCUUCUUCGGCCUGCCCUGGCCCUGCUAGCUCAAUCACUUUUAACACUUCUAUACUUUAUUAACCAAUCUGACUUAUACUUUAAAGAAAUAACUUUACCAAAACUCUCGGAGACUGGAUACAGAUAAGGCAGGUUUAUUCAGCAAGUUACCAAACAAACCAGUAUUGCUGGACCAGGGAUACGUGCUUGACCCGUAGGUGGCAAGUAUCAAAGUACAAUCCUUUACUGUUGUCUUAUAUACAAUUAAAGCAUGCAUGUACCUUUAGGGAGGACCCUCUUAUCUCAACUUGCACCUUUUCACUGUGUUGGCCCUCAAGUUUUUUCUAGUAUAACUUUUGCCUCCAUCUGUUCUCGUGCAUCAUUAGCCAACAUCUGUUUUUCUUUAUUAUUUAUUACUUUUGGGAGGCUUCUUCCUUAUCUCCUUCAACCUAAAGCAUCUGCAUCUCUUGUUUUCGCUGAACCAUGGACGUACGAUCUAAUCCCAUCAACCCUGGGCCUUCUAAACAACACCCGGGAUCAUCUUUUAAGAGGAAGACGGCAGUAGUUCCUACACAGACCCAAUUUACCGGACCCCUUCUCAAACGGCAUAAAGUGGACUCUGGCACUCAGACACAUUUAACCGUGCUGCCUUUACGGAAAGAGAGAACAGAGGCAUCUACUCAAACUUCUAUCUCAGUACCCCUCAUGAAGAAAAGAUAUUCAGAUGCGGCUAUCCAGACGAGCUAUACGAUGUCUUAUGGCACGCAAACACCCCCGAUUUCUACCGCGUCUAAAGGCCCUCAGGCUUCUCAACUUCCUUGGGCUGUAAACAGGAAAACCAUUCAUCCCCCGAUUUUUCGUGUAAAACCUCUGUUAAAAAAUAAUUCUUUUAUAUGUGUUUACUUAAUUAAACUGCAUAACGUUUCUUAAACUCU
Molecule: long non-coding RNA, 1587 nt
Organism: Ictalurus furcatus (blue catfish)
Lineage: Eukaryota; Metazoa; Chordata; Actinopteri; Siluriformes; Ictaluridae
Exons: 2
Source: RefSeq, a predicted model, not a curated record